UACAGAGGGUGCAAGCGUUAAUCGGAAUUACUGGGCGUAAAGCGUGCGUAGACGGUUAUGUAAGUCAGAUGUGAAAGCCCCGGGCUCAACCUGGGAAUUGCAUUUGAGACUGCAUAGCUAGGGUGCGGAAGAGGGAAGCGGAAUUUCCGGUGUAGCGGUGAAAUGCGUAGAUAUCGGAAGGAACACCAGUGGCGAAAGCGGCCUCCUGGUCCAGCACCGACGUUCAGGCACGAAAGCGUGGGGAGCAAACAGG
RNAcentral lists this ribosomal RNA (253 nucleotides) under uncultured bacterium. RNAcentral describes it as "partial 16S ribosomal RNA". It matches the Rfam family "Bacterial small subunit ribosomal RNA", at positions 524 to 776 of the family's 1533-position model. The record is from RNAcentral.